This is a long non-coding RNA of Hemicordylus capensis (graceful crag lizard), 5639 nucleotides long. RefSeq lists it as uncharacterized. The transcript has 3 exons. The record is from RefSeq and is a predicted model, not a curated record. Lineage: Eukaryota; Metazoa; Chordata; Lepidosauria; Squamata; Cordylidae.
UCUGGUGCUGUCGCCUUUACAAUUCAAGGUCAUAUUAUCUCUUUGUUAUACUUCCCCCCUGUUUUAUUUGUAGUUUUCUUCCUCUCUACUUCUUCUGGUGUUCUCUCUCUUACCUUUUCUGUUUUGAUUUUGUUUGGUCGCCUGCCCCGCCCCCCCCGCCACCCUCCGGGCUGAGGGGAACCUUUUUCUUACAAUAAGGAGCUGUUGUCUGGGGGGUGGGCCCUAUUGGCCUAUAUGUCCCAACCCACUAAUUUUUUAAAGAGGGAAAUCAUGUACUUCCGCCUUGUUUUUAACUCCACCAUUCACUAGUUUUCUCUCUCCAUGAUUUUCAGCUUUUUGCCAGAGCCUUAUAAUUUUUUGAGGGGAAUUAGGCCCCACUUGCCUUUUCUCCCCAUUCUGGCCAUCACUGCAUGGCCAGCAAAGUAACAUUCAAGCACUGUACGGUUUGCCAUGCGAAGAUCCUGCCCUUGGAUGCUCUGCCUUGGGGAGUUUCACAUAGUCAACUCUUGUAUUCAUUGCCUGAAGUUUACCAAACAGGCAUGUAAAAAGUGGGCAGUUUGACUACAAUCCCUCUUGUGAGAAAAAGCUCUUGCACCUAUAGCAUCAGUACUCACCACCUCUCAGGAUGCCUGCUCCAUGGAAAAGGAUCUGGGCCAAGCACCUAGUGGAUACUAGUGCUGAUCCUGCUAAGAAAAAGAAGCAUGUCCCUGCUCCAGCUGUGCACUCUUCACUGACCAUGAUGUAAUCAAAACCGACGAAGAGGCACUUCCUUCCCCCAGUGGGGCAGGGUCUCCCGAAGAUUCCUAAAAAGACACAGUCAGAAUUGCCUCUGAAACUGAUGCUCCCAGUCUGCCCUAUAGACUCAGAUCUGGAUGCCUUGGACCUGGAAGACCUAGUCGACCCCAACUUACUAUGUGACAUGGACCCAACAUCUUCUGUUCUGGACGAUGAGCCUAGAUCUGAAAGUUGAAACUCUUCUUGUAGCACACUGAAACCUACUGCCCUUGGGACCCAUAUCAAACCCGAUGGCAAGAAUACUGGGACCCUUAUGUGGAUCACCAUUGGUACUACAGAUCCAGAGACUGGGACUAUAGGGAGGAUUAUUCACAGUACCGACGUUCACCGUCUAAUGACAGCUACUGACAGCAUCAAUACUGGGGGAAUGCACCCAUCUACCAACCUCAUAUUUGCGACUCAUCUCAGAGCCAUAGUUUCACGUGGCAUAGACAUUGGUAUCAACCACAACGUCCAAGGACUUGGUCCAGAGAACACCUUAAGUCCAGCUCUCCACAACCUAAGCACCCCAAAAUCAGCACAGAGAUGCCCAAGAAGGAGGUUAAUGUCCCCUCUGCUCUGCUGCCUGUGACUCAAUUCCCACCUCUAGCCCUGGAGGAUGUUAUUCCAGCACAACUGGCCUUCAAAACCUUCUGACCCACUUGGACCUCCAGAGUCACAUUUCCAAGAUUCAGAACUGGACUCAGACGUGGAAUCCAAACACUCUUUAUCUAGUGUUCAUUUUUCACUGCUUGGGGAAAUCCCCAACCCCAAGCUGGAGUCCCCAGCAGAAGAAGUGUGCUCCCACUCAGAACAAGUCCUACAAAUGGCCACCUCUUUAGGCCUGAAAAUUAAACAUCUGACCAAACCUGAUCCAGACCCGAUCUUCGGGGUCAUUGAUGCAGACACCAAUACACAAGUGGCACUUCCUAUAUUUAAGCCCAUGCUAGAUGUCACCAAGGAUGCGUGGAUGAAAACAUGCUCAACUCAACCCACAUCUAAGCAUAUUGAAGCCUCGUAUAAGGUACAGGGACUCUGCUUUUUUGCAAUGCCAACUCAAUCAUUGUAGAGACAGCUCACUUGGACAAAACAUAGCCCUCUCUCAACUUUGUUGGACAGAGAAGGCCGGAAAAUUGAUUCCAUUGGAUGUCAGUUCUACUCCACCAUGACAUUACAACUGAAAACUGCUAACUAUCCGGACCUGUGAGUCAAGAAGCAAGUUAAUCCAACGUUUCAUCAAAGGUGAUUACAAAGGAACUGAAGGAAGAUGCGCCAACUGCCCCGCAUUAAUGGUCAUGCCCAGUGCAUUGCAGCUUCUCAAGAAGCUAUUGGAGUGCCCCAGAUGUUGGCCUGCACAGAUUUACUGUGCAAGCCUCAAUGUGAGCCAACAUCAGCAUCAGUUUCCUGCAGCAUGUUUUCAUGGUGAAUAUAAAAUGAAAUAAAAGCUUCACAUAUUAGAGAGUCCACAGUGAAAAUGCAGUGUGAACAGUGAAGCAUGGUAACAGCUACUGCAAUGUCUGAAGACGCCUUAAUAUUAAUGAUGGAGUCUAAGCUGCCUUGGAUUAGGACAAAACAUGUAGUAAGUACAGGAGUAAAUUGAUGCAAUUCAUUUUCUUGCAGCAUGAAGCAACUUUCCUCCAAAAUCCUCUGAUGAGAUAUUUGUGAAGGAGUCCUACAAAUCUUUUGAGGAGUUCAAAACCCUUUUGUUUCUCAAGCAACCAUGCAUUCAUGGACCUCAAAAAUGAAGGGGAGAAUGGAAAUGUACUCAAGUGUGUCAAAAAUUUGGUAGCCACAAAUAUGCUCCAGCCAAAGGGUCUGUUCAUCAAAAGACCCUCGUGUUUAUAGCAGGAGAAUAAAUUAUAUUCAUAUGAAUACAAUUUAUCAUAAUUUAGCUACCUGUAUAAUAAUGGGGCUUAUUGCAUGUAGACACUCAAAAUGUAGGUUAGACGAUAGGCUGGGUAAAUGUCUAUUUUUAAAGGCCCUAGAAUGUGCUGGCUGGAGUUGCAAAUAUGGAAGAGCUGGCAGAUAUAACAUGACAGGAAGCUGUAAGAAAGGAGAUUUAGCAUUUCUUGCUGCUGUGUUAUCAUAGACCCUUCCCCAACCAGACAAUCCAAGAAAUGUGAAAGUUGUCUGGAACAGAGGAUGACAGAGGAUUUGUAGAAGGAGAAAACAUGAGGUAUGUACUGAAUAAAGAAGGGUCUGGAUUAAAGAGUUCCGGAUAAGUUGAGGUUUUACUGUAUUUUACCUUGUCUGCAGCAAUGGUGCUAAAUUAUCAUGGUAUUGAUAGGGGGCCGCACUGUAAAAGAAAUAUUACAGAUAAAAUAGUUGGGUUUAUUUUGGUUCAUUAAGUCUCAUCUCUCUCUGCAGAUGAAGAAUGCAUUUCUUUCCCUUAGGGUUAAAAACUGGCACAGGAUGAAAAGCAUUCAAGCAAAAGGUCCAGCAAGAGUGACAGCAAAAGUCAUUAAUUCCAAGUUGUUGAAAGACGAGGCUGUUGGUAAGAUGCUAGGAAUUAAAACCCAAACAAGCCACUUUACUCACCCAACCGAAUGCACCCGUGUUUGCAUUACAGAAGAUGCAUUGCAAAACUGCUCCCCCACCAUCCUAUUUCUGCACAAGGUUCCACCCUUUGGUGUGAGAAAUUAAAUCACUUCCCGACAAACAUAUACAAUCAUAGCAGUCGACAUCGUUAUUGGCCUUUUCUCUUUAGCUCCAUUGUAACAAGAAAGAGCUAAGGUCAAAGGACAACCAAAGAUUUCACUUUUUGAGACUUUCCAGGUCCUGGAGUCAUGCUUAAAGUUAUUCUGGAUUGAUUUUGGCCCCUGCAGACCCAGAACUUUUGGUCUUCCUAUUGCUAGCCAUGGUUCAGGCCCCUAUACUACUAGACUUGAUGUUUAAAGGCAGUUUUCAGAUGGAAGGGCAUGCAAUUAAUAGGUCAUGUUGCCUAUCCAGUGAAGUAAAGGGAUGAAAAAAACAAGUUGCAAGAUUUUAAAAGGAAAAUAUUAUUUAGGAAGGGAACUGUUAGAAAAAGAAGAUGGCAGCUAAAUUAUCAAGAGGACAUAUGGACUGGAACAGAAAUCAGAUAACAGCUGGAAUUCUAAUUGAGAGAUUGAUAUAUCACACAGGUGGGUCUCAAAACAAAGGAAGUUUCCACAUCCACCCAUAUGAUAAUCUCUUUGCCCUGACAAAUCCAGCAAGCUUUAAGUUUCUUGGUAGCAAUAAUUUCCUAAAAGAAAAGAACCCAAAACCAUUUCAGUACAAGCAACUUCAGGAAAUACCAAGCAUUGGAUGUUAUAUAUAAAUUGAUUAAAUGACUCAAGAAUUUUAAUCAGCCUUCUGAUACAACAAAUAUUUAUAUAUACAACCAAUAUUUAUAUACCAUUUUUCAAAGAAAGUUCCCAAAGUGGUUUCCAUAGAUAUUAAAUAAAACAAACAAACAAACAAAUAAAUGGCUCCCUGUCCUCAAAGGGCUCACAAACGAAAAAAGAAACAUAAGGUAGACACCAGCAACAGCCACUGGAGGGAUGCUAUGCUGGGAAUGUAUAGGGCCAGUUGCUCUCCCUGGGCUAUAUAAAGAGAAUCACCACUUUUAAAAAGUGCCUCCUUGCUCAGUUAGUAGGGGACUGAUAGAAGCAUAUGAAUCACAAAGUAAGAUCUCACUGUCCAAACAGGCAAUUUAUUUUCUGACUUUAAUGGACAUAAACAUCAAACCACCACAGCGACAGGCACUCUUGUAUUAGAAAAACAGCAACAAAAACAGGGCAACAGACACAACAGCUGCCACUGCGGCAAGUGUGGGAGAUUUACAUUGCCCCAACAGGCAUACUUUUAUGCCAAGCAGGCAUUUACCAGAAAACAGUUUGAUCUAGAUGUCAGGUGGCAAUGUUUUACCAUUACAAAUUCAGAGAGCAAUUUUUCCAUAUCAGUGGUGAAUCAUCAUGGUCCAGCAGCCUCAAAAAGUCUUGAGAAAGAUCUUAGCAACAAACCUUAACAGAAAAUAUUACCAACCUGGUCAAAUCUUCAAUGUCUACCAGCAUGGCAUCCUGUUCUGUGUGCAGUUCAUCUCGAACAAGCAGCAGUUGCACCAGUUCUUCAUUCAAGCCUGCCACCAGAAGGGAGGGAGGUGGGAAUAAUUCAGUGUUAUUAUUUAGCCACAUUUCCCCCCAUGACCAAUGUUUUGGAGUCUGUUACUCAUCAUGGUACAGAAACGCAACAGCUCACUCAAAGAAACAGAAAGGUUCUCACUAGGUUUGGCUGGCAUAUAAAUAAGGAAGGCUAUGAAGUAAUGGAUUAAGAACAAUGGCUAAUAUUGUUCAAAACAAGUCUUGGCAAAACAGAAAAAUGAUGCUACUGUUUGGCUCAUGAGAUAACCAAGAAUGACUUUUUAAAGUGAAACACUCUCUUAACAUUCUAAGUGUAGGAGCGACCCAUAGAAUAUCUGGCACAUUCCCAGGCAAGGGUGGCAAUGGAAAAUCUACCAAAAUCUACUGGUGCUCUUAUGUUCAUGAGAAUGCUGCCUGGAAGAGAAAUUCCACUGUUAAAGAUGUCCCAUCUAUAUAGAAGCAAGAAUGCAGCUUUUGCUCCCAUUGCAACAGCUGCCGAUACUUGAAGAAGCACUGCUGUACUGUGCCAAUUUCAUGUUAGCAGAAAACAACUAAAUAAAUGCUUCCUUCUCUAAUGAAGAAAGGCCCUCACUGUAACAGGACAGCAUACAUCUAAGCUAUUGCUGCUUUGGGGUGCAAUCCAUUAGAGAUAUUUAAAGUCCCCUGCAUCUCAGUGGGAUUCAUAUUUAGUUUUGUAUUGGUUUAUGUCUGUCUAAAAUGAAGUGUGCAAAUACAUUAUUUUUUCUUAAUAAACUGAUGGAUAUG